This 620-nucleotide ribosomal RNA is filed under the name uncultured fungus. Its description in RNAcentral is "eukaryotic LSU rRNA". It matches the Rfam family "Eukaryotic large subunit ribosomal RNA", at positions 36 to 671 of the family's 3401-position model. The record is from RNAcentral. Lineage: Eukaryota; Fungi.
AUUGCAUAUCAAUAAGCGGAGGAAAAGAAACCAACAGGGAUUGCCUUAGUAGCGGCGAGUGAAGCGGCAAAAGCUCAAAUUUGAAAUCUGGCUCCUUCAGAGUCCGAGUUGUAAUUUGAAGAAGGUAUCUUUGGGUCUGGCUCUUGUCUAUGUUUCUUGGAACAGAACGUCACAGAGGGUGAGAAUCCCGUGCGAUGAGAUGAUCCAGGCCUAUGUAAAGUUCCUUCGAAGAGUCGAGUUGUUUGGGAAUGCAGCUCUAAGUGGGUGGUAAAUUCCAUCUAAAGCUAAAUAUUGGCGAGAGACCGAUAGCGAACAAGUACAGUGAUGGAAAGAUGAAAAGAACUUUGAAAAGAGAGUGAAAAAGUACGUGAAAUUGUUGAAAGGGAAGGGCUUGAGAUCAGACUUGGUAUUUUGUAUGUUACUUCUUCGGGGGUGGCCUCUACAGUUUAUCGGGCCAGCAUCAGUUUGGGCGGUAGGAGAAUUGCGUUGGAAUGUGGCACGGCUUCGGUUGUGUGUUAUAGCCUUCGUCGAUACUGCCAGCCUAGACUGAGGACUGCGGUUUAUACCUAGGAUGUUGGCAUAAUGAUCUUAAGUCGCCCGUCUUGAAACACGGACCAAUC